This is a long non-coding RNA of Daphnia pulicaria, 443 nucleotides long. RefSeq lists it as uncharacterized. NCBI's taxonomy places the organism in Eukaryota, Metazoa, Arthropoda, Branchiopoda, Diplostraca, Daphniidae. The record is from RefSeq and is a predicted model, not a curated record. The transcript is spliced from 4 exons.
UUGGCCCAGGGGUAAGUCGCUCUUUUCCCUUUAAUUUGGCGCCACACGAAAUUUAUAAUUUUUCAGAAUAGCCAAAGUGUUCAGUUUUAGCGAUAGAUGGUGUGUACCAAAAAUUUUUCGUCUGCACUUAAACCGUGACGUUUUAAAGCCCAAAAACGUUUUUCGUCACCCGUCAGUAACUUUUUUUUCCCGGAGUGAUUUCCUUUUCAUCAAUUAGGUAUUGAGUGUGCAAGCAAGAGAUUUGCUUUUUCAGAAAAAUUACCAAAAACCAUGUUGAAGAGGAAAGACUUUAAGUGUUACAAUUUAAAGAGCCAUUGAAAUGGUUUUAAAAGAAAUGUCUAGAAAAAAGUGCCUGCAAACUUAAAUGUGUUUUCUCAAGGUUAUACCAGGUUUUCAUGGAUGAAGAAAGGGCUGUACUAGUUCAUUAUUUCCAUCGAUCAGCA